CUUGACACAGAAUAACAAUUUGUCAGAACAAGAUGAAUUCUUGCAGGACUAUGCAAAACAAUAUCAAAAAUAUCAAUUAGAAAUGGCAAAGAAAAGAAUGGAACAAUUGCAAUGGGAAAAUAAGACUCCACAUCUUGAAGGUAUUGUAGAUACUGCAUUGAAACCUG
This is a non-coding RNA of Spodoptera litura, 167 nucleotides long. The record is from RefSeq and is a predicted model, not a curated record. Lineage: Eukaryota; Metazoa; Arthropoda; Insecta; Lepidoptera; Noctuidae.